UUAAGGUAGGUAUUGCAACAUGAAUACAUAGUGUUGCAAGGCGAACGAGGGGAAGUGAAACAUCUCAGUACCCUUAGGAAAAGAAAUCAAUUGAGAUUCCCUCAGUAGCGGCGAGCGAACGGGGAUCAGCCCAUUAAGUUAUGUGUGUUUUAGUGGAACGCUCUGGGAAGUGCGAACGUAGAGGGUGAUAUUCCCGUACACGAAAGGGCACACAUAAUGAUGACGAGUAGGGCGAGGCACGUGAAACCUUGUCUGAAUAUGGGGGGACCAUCCUCCAAGGCUAAAUACUCCUGACUGACCGAUAGUGAACCAGUACCGUGAGGGAAAGGCGAAAAGAACCCCUGUGAGGGGAGUGAAAUAGAUCCUGAAACCGCAUGCAUACAAGCAGUGGGAGCACCUUCGUGGUGUGACUGCGUACCUUUUGUAUAAUGGGUCAGCGACUUAUAUUCAGUAGCGAGGUUAACCGUAUAGGGGAGCCGUAGAGAAAUCGAGUCUUAAUAGGGCGUUUAGUUGCUGGGUAUAGACCCGAAACCAGGCGAUCUAUCCAUGAGCAGGUUGAAGGUUGGGUAACACUAACUGGAGGACCGAACCCACUGUCGUUGAAAAGCCAGGGGAUGACUUGUGGAUAGGGGUGAAAGGCUAAUCAAGCCUGGUGAUAGCUGGUUCUCCCCGAAAGCUAUUUAGGUAGCGCCUCGGACGAAUACCAUAGGGGGUAGAGCACUGUUUCGGCUAGGGGGUCAUCCCGACUUACCAAACCGAUGCAAACUCCGAAUACCUAUGAGUACUAUCCGGGAGACAGACUGCGGGUGCUAACGUCCGUAGUCAAGAGGAAAACAAUCCAGACCGCCAGCUAAGGCCCCAAAAUCAUAGUUAAGUGGGAAACGAUGUGGGAAGGCAUAGACAGCUAGGAGGUUGGCUUAGAAGCAGCCACCCUUUAAAGAAAGCGUAAUAGCUCACUAGUCGAGUCGGCCUGCGCGGAAGAUGUAACGGGGCUAAAACUAUGUGCCGAAGCUGCGGAUUUGACAUUAGUCAAGUGGUAGGGGAGCGUUCUGUAAGCCGAUGAAGGUGUAUUGAGAAGUAUGCUGGAGGUAUCAGAAGUGCGAAUGCUGACGUGAGUAACGACAAAACGGGUGAAAAACCCGUUCGCCGAAAGACCAAGGGUUCCAGUCCAACGUUAAUCGGGGCUGGGUGAGUCGACCCCUAAGGCGAGGCCGAAAGGCGUAGUCGAUGGGAAAUUGGUUAAUAUUCCAAUACUUCUGUGUAAUGCGAUGAGAGGACGGAGAAGGUUAAGUCAGCCUGGCGUUGGUUGUCCAGGUGGAAGGAUGUAGGCAUGUAUCUUAGGCAAAUCCGGGGUACUCUAUGCUGAGAUCUGAUAGCAAGCUGUACUUGUACAGUGAAGUGGUUGAUGCCAUGCUUCCAGGAAAAGUCUCUAAGCUUCAGUUACACAGGAAUCGUACCCGAAACCGACACAGGUGGUCAGGUCGAGUAGACCAAGGCGCUUGAGAGAACUCUGCUGAAGGAACUAGGCAAAAUGGUACCGUAACUUCGGGAGAAGGUACGCUGUUGUUGGUGAUGGAACUUGCUUCCUGAGCUGACGACAGCCGCAGAAACCAGGCCGCUGCAACUGUUUAUUAAAAACAUAGCACUCUGCAAACACGAAAGUGGACGUAUAGGGUGUGAUGCCUGCCCGGUGCUGGAAGGUUAAUUGAUGGGGUUAGCGUAAGCGAAGCUCUUGAUCGAAGCCCCAGUAAACGGCGGCCGUAACUAUAACGGUCUUAAGGU
RNAcentral lists this ribosomal RNA (1782 nucleotides) under Bifidobacterium longum subsp. longum. RNAcentral describes it as "partial 23S ribosomal RNA". It matches the Rfam family "Bacterial large subunit ribosomal RNA", at positions 139 to 1957 of the family's 2925-position model. Lineage: Bacteria; Bacillati; Actinomycetota; Actinomycetes; Bifidobacteriales; Bifidobacteriaceae. The record is from RNAcentral.